UACGUAGGGCGCAAGCGUUGUCCGGAAUUAUUGGGCGUAAAGAGCUCGUAGGCGGUUUGUCACGUCGGAUGUGAAAACCCGGGGCUCAACCCCGGGCGUGCAUCUCGAUACUGCCCGACUAGAGGUAGGUAGGGGAGAUCGGAAUUCCUGGUGUAGCGGUGAAAUGCGCAGAUAUCAGGAGGAACACCGGUGGCGAAGGCGGAUCUCUGGGCCUUACCUGACGCUCAGGCGCGAAAGCUAGGGGAGCGAACAGG
This 254-nucleotide ribosomal RNA is filed under the name uncultured bacterium. Its description in RNAcentral is "partial 16S ribosomal RNA". It matches the Rfam family "Bacterial small subunit ribosomal RNA", at positions 524 to 776 of the family's 1533-position model. The record is from RNAcentral.